RNAcentral lists this unclassified non-coding RNA (338 nucleotides) under soil metagenome. RNAcentral describes it as "partial contains 5.8S ribosomal RNA, internal transcribed spacer 2, and large subunit ribosomal RNA". The stretch from base 1 to 121 matches the Rfam family "5.8S ribosomal RNA", at positions 35 to 154 of the family's 154-position model. The record is from RNAcentral.
GAUGAAGAACGUAGCGAACGUGCGAAACGUAAUGUGAAUUGCAGAAUUCAGUGAAUCAUCGAAUCUUUGAACGCACAUUGCGCCCCUUGGUAUUCCAUGGGGCAUGCCUGUUCGAGCGUCAUUUGUACCCUCAAGCUUUGCUUGGUGUUGGGUGUUUGUCCUCUCCUUUGCGUUUGGACUCGCCUUAAAGCAAUUGGCAGCCAGUGUUUUGGUAUUGAAGCGCAGCACAAUUUGCGAUUCUAGCCGGCAACACUUGCGUCCAUAAGCCUUUUUUUAACUUUUGACCUCGGAUCAGGUAGGGAUACCCGCUGAACUUAAGCAUAUCAAUAAGCGGAGGA